RNAcentral lists this long non-coding RNA (204 nucleotides) under Lathyrus oleraceus (garden pea). Its description in RNAcentral is "Pisum sativum (pea) long non-coding RNA (PSAT_LNC011417)". Lineage: Eukaryota; Viridiplantae; Streptophyta; Magnoliopsida; Fabales; Fabaceae. The record is from RNAcentral.
GAGACCUUGUCUUUUCCUUUCUUUCUUCAGGUUUUCUUUGAGCGUUUCCUUUCCCUCCUUUGGGAUAAAUAAUGCACGGUGGCGACUCUUCUGUCAUUCUUCUUUUCUCGCCGGUUGUGUUUUUUUCGCAUGAUUGCGAUAGUAAGAUUCGUAUCUCCUUUUUGCGGAGUCGAAAGCCCAUCCUGAAAUCGAGUUUGCUCUUUA